UGUUCGGAAGCGUGCGUGUGGGGUUCGGUCUAGAGGUCUGAUCGAGGUUCUGCCCGUGCCGCGGGGGUUGGUCGGGGGAUUCAGAAUCGUCGAUGCCGAAUUUUGCUAUGGCGAAUCUGCACCUCUGACGGGAUCUGCGGGUGCUGCUGGAUUCUGUUGUAAGAGCGCCCACCUUAAGGUGGUUGCAGUUGCGUUUAAUUGUUAGGUCUCCUUCGAGCCCUCGCCGAGUAAGAGUUAUGUAGAGUGUAGUUGUGCUUGCUGCGAGCCGUUUGAUGAUGUUGACUUGGAUUAUUUGCGCCAAGAGGAGGUGUUGCGCCUUUAUUAUUACUCCCUCCGUUCCAAAAUAGAUGACUCAACUUUGUACUAACUUUAUACUACAGUUAGUACAAAGUUGAGUCAUCUAUUUUGGAACGGAGGGAGUAUUAUGUUACUGCAUU
This 437-nucleotide long non-coding RNA is filed under the name Triticum aestivum (bread wheat). RNAcentral describes it as "long non-coding RNA (TAES_LNC001967)". The stretch from base 322 to 426 matches the Rfam family "MIR1120/MIR1122 microRNA precursor family". The record is from RNAcentral. Lineage: Eukaryota; Viridiplantae; Streptophyta; Magnoliopsida; Poales; Poaceae.